AUCGAUAACCCGAUCGGGAUGUGGCGAUCAUUUUCGCUCUCUCGCAAAGCGUUUAGUUUAGGCGGAGUUUUAGUUUUUUUAUGAAUGUUUGAAUUGAUGUGGAAAGUGUGUGUUGCGACUUUAAUGGAUACGGAGCAGAGCGCGAAACGCUCAACGAGAUAGGCACCGUUUUCCUUACCGCGCUGCCGCUAAUAUUUGAUCUGUUGCCAGUUCAUUAUUUUCUGUUCUUUUGCGCCUCCUCCUGCACAUAACGGAUCUUU
This is a long non-coding RNA of Drosophila serrata, 260 nucleotides long. The record is from RefSeq and is a predicted model, not a curated record. Lineage: Eukaryota; Metazoa; Arthropoda; Insecta; Diptera; Drosophilidae.